GCGCCGGAUGCCGGAAAGUUGGUCAAACUUGAUCAUUUAGAGGAAGUAAAAGUCGUAACAAGGUUUCCGUAGGUGAACCUGCGGAAGGAUCAUUACCGAUAGAAUAAUCCAAGACGAGUCCUUGAGACUUGUUUACUGUGUGAAUUGUACGCAAUCUUUUAGGGGUCGGUCUCUGUGCCGUUAAAUGGUCGUCCGCCGCUUGGCGUGCGUUCGGUCAGCCCCGACUUUAUGUUUUUUCAAACUUUGUUUAUUCAGUCUGAGAACCAAUAGUGUUGGAAAACGUAAAAGAGAAAGACAACUUUUAACGGUGGAUCUCUUGGCUCACGCAUCGAUGAAGAACGCAGCCAGCUGCGAUAAGUAGUGUGAAUUGCAGAAUUCAGUGAAUCAUCGAAUCUUUGAACGCAAAUGGCGCUCUUGGGUUCUCCCAGGAGCAUGUCUGCCUGAGUGUCGGAUAUCAUCCAACGCC
RNAcentral lists this unclassified non-coding RNA (466 nucleotides) under Pavona cactus. Its description in RNAcentral is "sequence contains 5.8S rRNA gene, ITS2 and 28S rRNA gene". The stretch from base 297 to 450 matches the Rfam family "5.8S ribosomal RNA". RNAcentral also lists the same sequence under 2 other names. The record is from RNAcentral. Lineage: Eukaryota; Metazoa; Cnidaria; Anthozoa; Scleractinia; Agariciidae.